This 272-nucleotide long non-coding RNA is filed under the name Mytilus galloprovincialis (Mediterranean mussel). Lineage: Eukaryota; Metazoa; Mollusca; Bivalvia; Mytilida; Mytilidae. The record is from RNAcentral.
CUUGACAUCUGAACAAAAUGACAAUAUGAUCAACGUGAGAAUUCAAAUAUGUUCCCAAUAUAAAAUAUUACUGACAACACAGGAAAAAUGUAUCUUGGGAAAAUUGCAUCAAUAAACCUUAACAGGCAAUGUAAAGAAAAAAAUAUAUUGUACACAACAUUAUGUCAAUAUAAACUAAAGAAAUAAUAGGAAGACAAUAAAAUGUAUAUAUGAAUGACUAAUCUUUGAAUUUAAAUGAUUCCUUAUGAAAAAAAUGUCUAAUUCGUAUCCAA